Molecule: unclassified non-coding RNA, 2620 nt
Filed under: Hevea brasiliensis (rubber tree)
Lineage: Eukaryota; Viridiplantae; Streptophyta; Magnoliopsida; Malpighiales; Euphorbiaceae
Source: RNAcentral
UUUUUUUUUUUUUUUUUUGUGACAAAAGCUUCUUAUGAAAAUCAUAAACAGGCUAAUUACUGCCAAAUCUGUCUGUUGAAAAGCUGAAUGGCCUGCUUGCCAGUUGCCGCUACUUAAAACUAAAUGCACAGGCCGAACAAGUCUGAUAAUUCUUUUGAUUCUUUCUUAAGCGAGGGUGCUGUUUCACUAACUCGAGAUUUCUUAAAUGCUUUAUGGUAUGCAUGUAUGUUUUUUAUCAUCACCUUUUGUAAGUUGUGGCAAUCCUAGCUUUACUUCGUGAGCUAGUUUAAGGUGAGACAGAAGUGCUGGACCAAAAUGGAAGAUGGCGCAAAUGCUAGGAUUUGGUCAAAUAAUGAAUUUUUUUUGUCUAAUUCAUACUUCAUUGGACAUAUACUGCAUUAUCUCAUUUAUAGUUGAGAUAAGCAUGACUUGUUCUUUUCAAUUAUUAGCAAAAAAUACUAAAGCAAAUUUGUCUGAGCUGAAAUGUCUCAAUGUAUUGUGGAUGUACAGUAUUAUUGUUUUUGCUCAACUUAUUUUUUCUAUGCAAUUGUGCCUAAAUUUGAUGGUUGGACUCUCUUUCACUCGCCAGUAUUGUUUUUCUCAUAAACUACGCAUUGUUUUCUUCUUGUUUUUUGCCUAUGGGUAAAGGGCUGCAGGGCUGGGUGACGAUGGAUUGGUUAAUGCCACAAAUCAGCAAGUUUGGCAGUAGUUUCUGAACAACAUGAAAUUCCUGUUUUCUUUGACAUUCGUCACCUCUAGUGUUUUAUAUUUCAUUUAUUCCAUUGGUUGAAGUUUUCAAAUUAAUAGUAAAGACUGACAUGUUUGAAAUCGCUCUUUCAAGUGAACAACAUCAUCUGUUCCAGAAUGUGAGAAGUUGUGGAAAGGUUAAUUUGACUUCGUGCUGAUGUUGGUUUCAAGGAACCCCAUGCUUUUGUAGCCAGGUGCGAAAUCUAUUUUUCUUCUUUUUUUCAAUUUUUUUAGAGCAUCAAGUUCUGUCUCACAUUAAGGUCAUAUUAAAUGCGGUUAUGCCAUACUUGAACAUUAAUGAACAGGUCCAUUCUUGUUUAUUUUAACUGCAAAUUGUUAAUUUAGAUAUUUCAAGAAGAGUAAUCACUCUAUAGAUAGUGUCUCUAAACAAUUAUUUAGUUAAUGAUUUUUCUUACUUCACUAUUAAUGCAUAUCUUUUUGAAAAUAUAGGCAUCACCAUUGUUCGUCUCUUAAAUGGUUAUAGUGCAAUACUAAUUAUGGUGAUGAAUAGUUUUGUUGCUAAGAAUUUCCUGGAACUUUUGGGGCCAAUUUCCAGUUAGUUCACUUGCGAUUCUUACAACAAUGCAGCAUGUGUAGCAAAUGUGGACAGAAAAAAAAAAUAGUGGUAAAAAUGGGGUAAUCUUUAGUACAAUAUUUUCAAGUCAAAUUAACUUUAUAUCACAAAAUUGCGGUAGCUUCAAUUGGAUGUCAAUUUUGAGCUUCUUGAUUUUUAUAUGUGUAUAUAUUAGCUUAGUUCAGUUCUACCUUUUGGAAAUUCAUUGUUAACAUUUGAUGAGAUGGUUUGUUCAUGAGCAAUGAUGAAAGCUGAUUAUACCAGUUUGGCAGAAUUCAGGGAAGAUUUAAUUGGAGUUGUAGGCUCUUAAAAGGAUGAAAGAGUUUUUAUGAUCUGAUUUGUUACAUCGAACAUAUGCUGCUGUGUAGAGUUAAACAUUAAAGCCCCUCAUAUGGAGUUCAUAAUUAUGAGCAUAUGCAUUUACAUUCUAUACCUAGUCGCUCAGGAUGAUGCUGUUUUUUUUCACCUUCUAGUACUUUGAAUUAUUGUAGUCAGUGCAGCUACAACCUUAUUUGUCCCCAAAAUUCAGGGAAGUCUUUUUUUUAUUAUUUGUUUGUUUAUUUUUGUGUUAUAUGAGAAAUUAUCGAAAGUCAUGUCUCUAGUGUUCCUUUUAGGGGAUACGAGGGUCAUCUGUUUGGACCACCAAAUCAUUUAGUUUACCGCGUACCAGUUGGUUUCAGAUUUGCAAAUCAAUUCAAUGCAAGCAGUCUUUUGUGUCAAUUCAUCAAAGUUUGUGUGAAAAUUAGAUGACAUGAUCCAUAGACGUCCCCUCUUCUAAUUAUUGCUGCUCCUCCUUUGCACAUCUUCCUCUUUGAAGGUUAAUCAAUUUGUACGUCCUCUCUGUACCUCCUUUCUUCUCUUUGCCCCCUCCUCCCCAUCCCUUUUCCCCUCUACUGAUUUAUUCAAAAUCUAUCUCAUUGAUAUCAAUUAUUCCAUGACGUGGGCAGGGAAUUCCUUGCUUUUUUCUUUCUUUAUCAUCAUUUAUUUCUUUGUUUUUUCUAGUUAAUUUCGUAGUCUCUAGAGAAAGAAAGAGAGACAGAGUUAACAAGAAGUUGCAGCUAGCUACAGCCUGAGCAGCUACGUCUUUCUUUCUCAUUGAUGCUCUAGUGUGGUUGAAGUUAUAAACUUACAACUAAGGCCAAAGCUGCCACAAAUGGGAAAUAUAAGGUUGUAAGUAAUGGUAUUAGCACCUUCUAUGCACGGAUGCAUCAUAUCCUGAUCACCCGCAAGAAAACACGUUCCUGUAUGCACUUGAUGCCUGUAAAUGGACUAAUUUGUGGUGAAAUCUUUUUUUUUUUU